GGUGAUAUAACCCUUCUUGAUUAAUCAACAGAUUAAAGCAACUUCCUAACUGAUUUAUACAAUCAUUCAAAAUCACUGCAAGUUUGUGUUGUACAUAAAUUUCAAACUAUCAGGUAUAAAAAAAAAAGGAAACUAGUUUUCUCCUUUUCUACAUAUUUACAAGACAAAGUGUAAAUUCAGCAUAUUACAAGACUUGAGUUAUUAAAACACCCUAAUACAAUAAAAUAGGUUACAAAUUCAAGUUACAAGAUUUUGGUCUUUAAAAUCCAACAAGCCUCCAAAUAACAUAAGUGUGACAUAUAUAUAUAUAUAUAUAUGUAUGUAUAUAUCCUGUAUAUCAUGUAUAUCAUGUACAUGUCCCAAAACUAUGCAAACCAAGGUGCAUAUGCAAAUGUGAUCUCCAUAAAUUCUCCCAAAAAGACUACUUCACCUUGGCCAUCUUCAGAUUUCAUCCCGAACAUUUCCUACGAUAGAAAACAACUAUCGCUAAGCAUAAAGUUUAGUGGUGUAUAAACUUUAGGCUUGGAGUCAUUAAAUUCUCCAAUUCCCCUUUUCAGUCAUGGUUAGCUCAAUUUAACAUAAUUUAAAACAAGUAAACAAAUAUAUCAAACAUAUAAAUAUCAAACUUUGAACUGUUUCCAAAUAUCAAUAACAAUGUUCAAGAGUCUAGAAAGUGUAUACUAUCAAUUUAAGAGAGUAUACAAAAUAUUCAUUUUCCGCCCAAUAUGUACGUCAUGCCAUCACACUAAGCAUAAUCAGAUAUCAAGAUGGACCGAAGCCCUAAAUCAAGUAGGGUCAAAACCCAAUAGACAAGAGAAUCAAGAACCAUAUUAAAAAUGGCUUCCUAGUUCGUACUUAACACGGACAAGUUCCAUAAUUCAAGACGAACUACAAAUCCAAAGUCAAGAUGGCAAAAGAUCCGAAUCAAGAGGCAUGCCAAGAUGAGUGGAAAAGUCACUUCCACAAGAAGGACAAAGUCCCAACAAAAAUGCAAAACGAUCAAACAAUCCGUACGAAUGAGAGAUUUAGCAAAUAUCUUACAAUACUUGAUAUAAUACGAAUAUAACAAUAUAAAUUGAAGAAAAGAAAAAUAAAAUAUCAAGUUAUUUCAACAUAUUCCAGCAAGAAAAAAGAGUACAAGUUUAUACACAAACCUUGGUGUUUUACCACAAAAUAGNNN
This 1180-nucleotide long non-coding RNA is filed under the name Nicotiana tabacum (common tobacco). RNAcentral describes it as "long non-coding RNA (NTAB_LNC008569)". The record is from RNAcentral. Lineage: Eukaryota; Viridiplantae; Streptophyta; Magnoliopsida; Solanales; Solanaceae.